Molecule: ribosomal RNA, 293 nt
Filed under: uncultured bacterium
Lineage: Bacteria
Description: partial 16S ribosomal RNA
Rfam family: Bacterial small subunit ribosomal RNA
Source: RNAcentral
AAUGAACGCUGGCGGCAGGCCUAACACAUGCAAGUCGAGCGAAGUCUUCGGACUUAGCGGCGGACGGGUGAGUAACGCGUGGGAACAUACCCUUUGGUACGGAAUAGCCUCGGGAAACUGGGGAGUAAUACCGUAUGUGCCCCUUUCGGGGGGAAAGAUUUUAUCGCCAAAGGAUUGGCCCCGCGUUUGGAUUAGGUAGUUUGGUGGGGGUAAUGGCCUACCAAGCCGACGAUCCAUAGCUGGUUUGAGAGGAUGAUCAGCCACACUGGGGACUGAGACACGGCCCAGACUCC